Cajanus cajan (pigeon pea) is the source of this 160-nucleotide non-coding RNA. The record is from Rfam. Lineage: Eukaryota; Viridiplantae; Streptophyta; Magnoliopsida; Fabales; Fabaceae.
AUACUUACCUGGAUGGGGUCAAUGGGUGAUCAAGAAGGCCCAUGGCCUAGGAUUGUGACCUCCAUUGCACUUUGGAGGGGUGCAGGCCUAAGGUCUCCUCAAGUAGGAGAGCCUACAUCAUAAUUUGUGGUAGUGGGGCCUGCGUUCGCGCGGCCCCCUU